This 253-nucleotide ribosomal RNA is filed under the name uncultured bacterium. RNAcentral's name for it is "partial 16S ribosomal RNA". It matches the Rfam family "Bacterial small subunit ribosomal RNA", at positions 524 to 776 of the family's 1533-position model. The record is from RNAcentral.
UACAGAGGGGGCAAGCGUUAUUCGGAAUUAUUGGGCGUAAAGGGCGCGUAGGCGGCUUGGCAAGUGGAUGGUGAAAUCCCUCGGCUUAACCGAGGAACUGCCGUCCAAACUGCUUCGCUUGAGACCGGGAGAGGUGAGUGGAAUUCCCAGUGUAGCGGUGAAAUGCGUAGAUAUUGGGAGGAACACCAGUGGCGAAGGCGGCUCACCGGACCGGUACUGACGCUGAUGCGCGAAAGCGUGGGGAGCAAACGGG